CAGUAGCCGCGGAAUACGUAGGUGGCAAGCGUUGUCCGGAAUUAUUGGGCGUAAAGGGCUCGCAGGCGGUUUCUUAAGUCUGAUGUGAAAGCCCCCGGCUCAACCGGGGAGGGUCAUUGGAAACUGGGAAACUUGAGUGCAGAAGAGGAGAGUGGAAUUCCGCGUGUAGCGGUGAAAUGCGUAGAGAUGUGGAGGAACACCAGUGGCGAAGGCGACUCUCUGGUCUGUAACUGACGCUGAGGAGCGAAAGCGUGGGGAGCGAACAGGAUUAGAUACCCGAGUAGUCCCUGUCUCUUAUACA
RNAcentral lists this ribosomal RNA (301 nucleotides) under uncultured bacterium. RNAcentral's name for it is "partial 16S ribosomal RNA". It matches the Rfam family "Bacterial small subunit ribosomal RNA", at positions 509 to 808 of the family's 1533-position model. The record is from RNAcentral.